Molecule: long non-coding RNA, 373 nt
Organism: Solanum tuberosum (potato)
Lineage: Eukaryota; Viridiplantae; Streptophyta; Magnoliopsida; Solanales; Solanaceae
Exons: 2
Source: RefSeq, a predicted model, not a curated record
CAUGAAAGUUCCAUUUGCUCGUGAAGCUCCAAGCAAAGUACGAUGAUGCUUAAUCUUGGAACCAGCAUAAUGCUGUCUGAAUUCAUGGACUUAUUUUUCUGGAUAAUGCUUCCAACAUGAUUUUCUUUUCAUUUGAGGAGCUCGAACCCGAAACUUGUCACUAAGGAUGGAGAAAUCUGAACCAUCCCAUUACGACCUAUGUGGAUGUAUUUUGUAGGUAGAAAGUUUGUGUAUUGGAGUCCCAUUAAAUUUGGAUUUGCGCAUUGCAAAGACUAUUUUUUGGGACAACACUCGCAACAUGAUUUUUUUCAUUCCGAGGAGCUCGAACUGGAAACUUGUUACUAAGGAUAGAGAAAUCCAAAUCAUUCCAUCA